Molecule: long non-coding RNA, 812 nt
Filed under: Mustela putorius furo (domestic ferret)
Lineage: Eukaryota; Metazoa; Chordata; Mammalia; Carnivora; Mustelidae
Description: lncRNA (ENSMPUG00000030145.1)
Source: RNAcentral
UAUUUCCUCUUCCUGGAAAGCGCAUGCUGGCUUCAGGUCUUAGUUAAAUGUUACCUCCCCUGAGAGGCCUUUCUUGGUGACUCAAUCUAAACUACUUUCCCUAUACCCACUUCACUCUCUCUCACUCAUCCUGUGUGAUUUCCUUCAUAGCAUUCAUCAUCAUCUGUAGCCAAGUGUUUGCUUAUUGCCUGUGUUCCAAGCUGGCAGGAAGCACCCCCCAGAGAAGAAAUGUCACCAACCUCGCUCACUGUGGUAUUCCAGAACUCAAUAAAUGCUUGUUGAAUGACUGAAUGGAGUCAACGUGGCUGAUUUGGUGAACCAUAGAAUCGAGUCAGAAGUACAGGAGACAUCUUGACACUAAAAGUAACUGUUUAUUGUUGGCUGUUCUGGGACGGUGGAAGGCCUCUACUCCAUGCAAUCAUUCAGGAAACCAAGCUGAUGGAAGCUCUGCAAUCUCCAACCAGUUGUUCUGUUCAUCCUUGACACCUUCAUCCUUUGGGAAGGGGGACAGCAUCGAAGGGCUCAGGAGGUUGUGCCAGUCUAGCCCUUUUUAUCAUUUUACCAUUUCCACCCUUUUUCUGUUGGAAAGGACAUAGUCAUUUAGCCACAUAACUGCGAAUGAAUCUAGGAAUCAUGGAGGAAAGGGUGAAUGGAUUUUAAUGGACAAUUAGCAGUCUCCGACAUGAGAUUUGGGAGAGGCCAACAGUGCUAAAACAAUAAUUUUUAAAAAUGUAUUUAGAAGUUGAGAGAAGGUAGAAAUCAGCGUGGAACAAAAUCUUCGGGAAGAGAUGGGAUGUGAUGGAACAAAAAAC